AGUGGAUUCACAGUUGAUUGUAGCAGGCAUAGUUGGGAAGUACGCCCGUGAUCAUUAGUCUUCACUGUUAUUGUAGGGGGCCAUAGUGGUGAAGUAUGGCCAUGGUCAUUAGUUUCCUAUUUGAAUUAUUUGAUAUCGAAAUUGAUAUGUUUGCCUAUUCAUAGUGGUAGUUAGGGAUCCUUUAUGCCCUCAGCUAAUAUCAGUUAGAACAGCUUCGUGCGAAGAUUUGUAAAAUUCGUAAAAACUAUCAAACUGUUUAUUAAGAAGAUUGUUGUUUAUGCAUUUUUUCCAUUAUUUAACUAUCUCCCUGAUAACUAUUGUAUGUUUGCCCUUACAUGUUUCUUAUGCGCUUUACAU
RNAcentral lists this long non-coding RNA (357 nucleotides) under Carica papaya (papaya). Its description in RNAcentral is "long non-coding RNA (CPAP_LNC005837)". Lineage: Eukaryota; Viridiplantae; Streptophyta; Magnoliopsida; Brassicales; Caricaceae. The record is from RNAcentral.